Long non-coding RNA from Neofelis nebulosa (Clouded leopard), 1172 nucleotides. RefSeq lists it as uncharacterized. The record is from RefSeq and is a predicted model, not a curated record. NCBI's taxonomy places the organism in Eukaryota, Metazoa, Chordata, Mammalia, Carnivora, Felidae. The transcript is spliced from 5 exons.
GUCAUGUGCAGAGCACACAGUAAGUCACUGCACCAAGAAUGUGAGAGCAUGUGGCAAGGCCCUCUCUCUUCUGGCCAUGCUCUGCGACUUAGAAUAGGAAACACAACAGCCUCAGAAGACACUCAGCCCUGAUAGAGGGACACUGAUCUGCAGAGGCACACCCAUUGAAAGAUAACCAAACAGAGGGAGGAGCCAAGAUGGCGGAACAGCACGGGAGUUUUUUGUGUAUAUCAUGUCCAUGAAAUACAGCCAGACCAACACCAAACCAUCCUUCACACCUAGAAAACUUAUUGGAGGAUUAAGAAAACAAUCUGCACAACCUGAACCACAGAAUUAAGCAGGGGUCAGGCAACAUGCUACUUACUCCCUCAUGUGUUUCACCUUGGUCGCGGCCACUGUGCUGUUGAACGUUGUUAGUCUCGGGGACACGUCUGGAGCUGUGCUGGGGAUCGUCCUCGCAUCUGAAAAUCAAUGCACAGCCCUUAUUGACUUCAUCAGCACCCUGGCAACUUCCAGGCAACAUUCAAGGGCAAUCAGAAAACAGAAGUUAAUCCACCUGUGCCACUAGAAAGGAUAGGGGAGGAAUCAAGGUGGCGGAAAAGCAGGGAAGCUUUUUGUGUGUCUCGUGUCCAUGAAAUACAGCCAGACCAACACUAAACCAUCCUACACACCUAGAAAACUGAUUGCAGGAGUAACACAACAAUCUGCACAACCUGAAUCACAGAAUUCAGCAGGUACACGGAAUGGAGAGCUGAACUUGCGGAGCAAGAAGCCGCGGAAGGCUGGCACCUGGCCGCAGUCUUGGGGCACCGGCAACAGCAGGGUCCAGCGGGCAUUCCUGGGUGCAGCCGACAUUCAGCCCUUGCUCAUUCGGCCACUGCUCAGUGAGACCCUCCCAUAGAGGGGCAGAAUGGGUCAAAGCCGCAGUCCUUUGGAAGUAAGGGGCUGGGGAAAACAGCCACAUCUGAGACAAAACUUGGGAGAGAGGGCUCUCUUGGGGGCACUCCCAGAUAAAGGUCCUGCCCGCUCAACUUUAUGUCAGAGGCUGCUUCCUGAAGAACCCAGGCCAUGACACAUGGGUACCUGGUUGGGAGGAUGUGGGGGCAUGAAGGUGGUUCUCUCAUUGACUUCAACAAGUUGAGUAAUAAAUAAGAAUGAUAAUAAAUAUACAA